AGCAGAGCAGAUGCCAAGUGAUCUUCUCCACAGCACCCAUGAACUUCAGCCUUGAACUGAAGAGGACUCAUCAAAUGUCUUAGGAGAGACAUCAUGGAAUUGGAAGAGAAGCAGGAAUCUCCAUGAAGCGCAGUCAACUACAGUCUUGGUGUGUGGAGGAACAGGUCCUGUUCUCGCUGUUGUUACUCCCACAUAGGCGGACUCUGUAAUUGAUUAUGUGUGGGUAGGGCCUUAUUGAAAUUCAGGAGAUGCUGCAGUAGUGCAGGGUUCUGGUUGUGAAAGUUCAGUUGCAAGAUCAGGACCCUACUGUGACUCCUUACUGUGAAUUCUGUCAGUGUAUCAUUGAUUGUGCUGGAACCUGCCUUUUGGGAUAAUGUAAGUCCUGCUUUUCUCCCAAAUGUACUUUAGACAUGAAAUAAUCAUAAAACAUUUCUAAUUAGAAAAUUAAUAUCAUUUACAUGCAUUCUUUUAAUUAUGUUUUUUUGGCAGUACCAAAUAAUAUAUUCCUCAAAACUUCUUAAUGGCACUGAGGCUUUGUGGAUAGUUGGUCACAUGAUGAGAAAAUUCAGCUGUAAGUACAUUGAAAUGAUUGAAUUUUUCAAUAGUUAGUUUUUGCUGAUGUUGACAGACUAAUAAUGAUAAAAAGGUGAAUCAAGAGGUGUGACUUAUGACUUCAAUUAUUCUUAUAAAAAUCAU
This is a long non-coding RNA of Eurypyga helias (sunbittern), 696 nucleotides long. RefSeq lists it as uncharacterized. The transcript is spliced from 3 exons. Lineage: Eukaryota; Metazoa; Chordata; Aves; Eurypygiformes; Eurypygidae. The record is from RefSeq and is a predicted model, not a curated record.